CAAAAGCGUGUAUUAAAGUUGUUGCAGUUAAAAAGCUCGUAGUUGAACCUUGGGCUUGGCUGGCCGGUCCAUCUUUUUUGAUGCGUACUGGACCCAGCCGAGCCUUUCCUUCUGGCUAGCCUUUUGGCGAACCAGGACUUUUACUUUGAAAAAAUUAGAGUGUUCAAAGCAGGCCUUUGCUCGAAUAUAUUAGCAUGGAAUAAUAGAAUAGGACGUUAUGGUUCUAUUUUGUUGGUUUCUAGGACCAUCGUAAUGAUUAAUAGGGACGGUCGGGGGUAUCAGUAUUCAGUUGUCAGAGGUGAAAUUCUUGGAUUUACUGAAGACUAACUACUGCGAAAGCAUUUACCAAGGACGUUUUCAUUAA
RNAcentral lists this ribosomal RNA (364 nucleotides) under uncultured eukaryote. RNAcentral's name for it is "partial 18S ribosomal RNA". It matches the Rfam family "Eukaryotic small subunit ribosomal RNA", at positions 592 to 976 of the family's 1831-position model. The record is from RNAcentral.